RNAcentral lists this ribosomal RNA (199 nucleotides) under uncultured bacterium. Its description in RNAcentral is "partial 16S ribosomal RNA". It matches the Rfam family "Bacterial small subunit ribosomal RNA", at positions 328 to 539 of the family's 1533-position model. The record is from RNAcentral.
ACGCUCGACACCUACGGGUGGCAGCAGUCGGGAAUAUUGCGCAAUGGAGGAAACUCUGACGCAGUGACGCCGCGUAUAGGAAGAAGGUUUUCGGAUUGUAAACUAUUGUCGUUAGGGAAGAAAAAAGACAGUACCUAAGGAGGAAGCUCCGGCUAACUACGUACCAGCAGCCGCGGUAAUCUGAGCGGGCUGGCAAGGC